GAGGAGGAAAGCGGGGGACCGUAAGGCCUCGCGCGUUUGGAGCGGCCGAUGGCAGAUUAGGUAGUUGGUGGGGUAAAGGCUUACCAAGCCUACGAUCUGUAGCUGGUCUGAGAGGACGACCAGCCACACUGGGACUGAGACACGGCCCAGACUCCUACGGGAGGCAGCAGUGGGGAAUUUUGGACAAUGGGCGAAAGCCUGAUCCAGCAAUGCCGCGUGCAGGAUGAAGGCCUUCGGGUUGUAAACUGCUUUUGUACGGAACGAAAAGGCGCCUACUAAUACUGGGUGUUGAUGACGGUACCGUAAGAAUAAGCACCGGCUAACUACGUGCCAGCAGCCGCGGUAAUACGUAGGGUGCAAGCGUUAAUCGGAAUUACUGGGCGUAAAGCGUGCGCAGGCGGUGUUGUAAGACAGUUGUGAAAUCCCCGGGCUCAACCUGGGAACUGCAUCUGUGACUGCAAUGCUGGAGUGCGGCAGAGGGGGAUGGAAUUCCGCGUGUAGCAGUGAAAUGCGUAGAUAUGCGGAGGAACACCGAUGGCGAAGGCAAUCCCCUGGGC
RNAcentral lists this ribosomal RNA (557 nucleotides) under Hylemonella sp. Its description in RNAcentral is "bacterial SSU rRNA". It matches the Rfam family "Bacterial small subunit ribosomal RNA", at positions 196 to 734 of the family's 1533-position model. The record is from RNAcentral. Lineage: Bacteria; Pseudomonadati; Pseudomonadota; Betaproteobacteria; Burkholderiales; Comamonadaceae.